GACGUAGGGGGCGAGCGUCACCCGGAGUCACUGGGCGUAAAGGGCGUGUAGGCGGCUGGGCGCGCCGCGUGUGAAAGCCCGCGGCUCAACCGAGGAAGUGCAUUCGAAACUGCCGUUCUUGAGUGUCGGAGAGGGUGGUGGAAUUCCCGGUGUAGAGGUGAAAUUCGUAGAUAUCGGGAGGAACACCAGUGGCGAAGGCGACCACCUGGACGAACACUGACGCUGAGGCGCGAAAGCGUGGGGAGCAAACAGG
This 253-nucleotide ribosomal RNA is filed under the name uncultured bacterium. RNAcentral describes it as "partial 16S ribosomal RNA". It matches the Rfam family "Bacterial small subunit ribosomal RNA", at positions 524 to 776 of the family's 1533-position model. The record is from RNAcentral.